AGACCUCAUAGUUUGGCAAUAGUUCAAACCGUCGGUCGAGCACCUCUCUUGACUGACACCGCAGUCUUGAAAACAACCAUCAUUGUUGGGGGAAACUGGAGGUUUCCAAGCUGAACCGUCGCACAUACACUCGCAGUCUCCGAGAGGUGCCGUCUAUCCGCUCGAGCCCUGCGACGACGAGGUUGAAUAAUCGAUGCUGGACCCUGUGUAAGUGGAGUUGGACUUCCAAUCGGGGUAGUAAUUCGAGCAUGCUUGGCCAAGUUUGUUUGCGCACUCUUGGGGACCAUACUGGUAGCAUUCCUGUUCUAAGAUGCCGCAGGGUCCUCCGUUUUGGUCGCAUACCUCGAUGAAUCCUGCGUACUGACUGCGCUGGUCGUCGCAGAAGCAUUCGCAGUCGCCGAACGUGUUUCCACCUGGCGUCGAACCUGGGCUUUGGGAAUUGUACGCCUCCACGUAAAUCCAAGUCGCGGAUACGGAUCCGCCAGAGGAGCAAUACUGGUUGUUUGUAUUCUGGCUCACGCACAUUGAUGAACCUUGCUGCGAGCACUGUUCAGAAGUUACUCGGCAAUCUUCACUCGUCGGGUCACAAUCAACCGUGUUGAUCAACGUUUGAGGACUCCAAGGGGAAAAUCCCGAACCUUCGUCGCACAUACACUCGCAGUCUCCGAGAGGUGCCGGCUGUCCGCUCGAGCCCUGCGACGUGCUAGGUGCGCCAGAGUUUCCAGGGCCCGUGUACGAGUAUUCGGGGACGAACAGCGUCUUGACGCUGAACGUAUUCUGCACGACAAACUUCGACUGGUGCCAGGCGUCCCAUCUGUCGCUCGCUUGCGCCGUACCGCUCGAGUUCUGCCAGGUGUCGUCCUGCACAUCGAGACGCUGCCAGAAGUUGCCGUUGUCGUAACCCUC
This 906-nucleotide long non-coding RNA is filed under the name Micromonas commoda. RNAcentral's name for it is "long non-coding RNA (MCOM_LNC000311)". Lineage: Eukaryota; Viridiplantae; Chlorophyta; Mamiellophyceae; Mamiellales; Mamiellaceae. The record is from RNAcentral.